RNAcentral lists this transfer RNA (68 nucleotides) under Loxodonta africana (African savanna elephant). It matches the Rfam family "tRNA". From Rfam's summary of the family: Transfer RNA (tRNA) molecules are approximately 80 nucleotides in length. Lineage: Eukaryota; Metazoa; Chordata; Mammalia; Proboscidea; Elephantidae. The record is from Rfam by way of RNAcentral.
CUGGGUGUUGCAAACAGUUAAUGCAUUUGGCUGUUAACCAAAAGGUUGAAAUUUCAAAUCCACCUAGA